Bos taurus (domestic cattle) is the source of this 74-nucleotide non-coding RNA. The record is from Rfam. NCBI's taxonomy places the organism in Eukaryota, Metazoa, Chordata, Mammalia, Artiodactyla, Bovidae.
UCCCUGGUGGUCUAGUGGUUAGGACUCUGCAUUUCCACUGCAGGGAACACAGGUUCAAUCCCUAGUUAGGAGAA